This 427-nucleotide ribosomal RNA is filed under the name uncultured bacterium. Its description in RNAcentral is "partial 16S ribosomal RNA". It matches the Rfam family "Bacterial small subunit ribosomal RNA", at positions 354 to 796 of the family's 1533-position model. The record is from RNAcentral.
GUGAGGAAUAUUGCACAAUGGGCGAAAGCCUGAUGCAGCAACGCCGCGUGAGUGAUGAAGGCCUUUGGGUCGUAAAACUCUGUCCUUGGGGAAGAAAAAAAUGACGGUACCCUUGGAGGAAGCCCCGGCUAACUACGUGCCAGCAGCCGCGGUAAUACGUAGGUGGCAAGCGUUAUCCGGAAUUAUUGGGCGUAAAGAGUGCGUAGGUGGUUUUGUAAGCGUAGGGUGAAAGGCAGUAGCUCAACUAUUGUUAGCCCUGCGAACUGUGAGACUUGAGUGCAGGAGAGGAAAGUGGAAUUCCUAGUGUAGCGGUGAAAUGCGUAGAUAUUAGGAGGAACACCAGUGGCGAAGGCGACUUUCUGGACUGUAACUGACACUGAGGCACGAAAGCGUGGGUAGCAAACAGGAUUAGAAACCCCAGUAGUCC